RNAcentral lists this ribosomal RNA (395 nucleotides) under uncultured bacterium. RNAcentral's name for it is "partial 16S ribosomal RNA". It matches the Rfam family "Bacterial small subunit ribosomal RNA", at positions 523 to 918 of the family's 1533-position model. The record is from RNAcentral.
AUACGUAGGGUGCAAGCGUUAAUCGGAAUUACUGGGCGUAAAGCGUGCGCAGGCGGUUUUGUAAGACAGAGGUGAAAUCCCCGGGCUCAACCUGGGAACUGCCUUUGUGACUGCAAGGCUAGAGUACGGCAGAGGGGGGUGGAAUUCCGCGUGUAGCAGUGAAAUGCGUAGAUAUGCGGAGGAACACCGAUGGCGAAGGCAAGCCCCUGGGCCUGCACUGACGCUCAUGCACGAAAGCGUGGGGAGCAAACAGGAUUAGAUACCCUGGUAGUCCACGCCCUAAACGAUGUCAACUGGUUGUUGGGGAUUUAUUUUCUCAGUAACGAAGCUAACGCGUGAAGUUGACCGCCUGGGGAGUACGGCCGCAAGGUUAAAACUCAAAGGAAUUGACGGGG